UUUCCUUAUCACUUUUCCAGCCAGCUUUGUGACUCUAAGUGUUGGACGGAGAACUGAUAAGGGU
This 64-nucleotide microRNA precursor is filed under the name Peromyscus maniculatus bairdii (prairie deer mouse). Its description in RNAcentral is "miRNA (ENSPEMG00000003103.2)". It matches the Rfam family "mir-184 microRNA precursor family", at positions 12 to 76 of the family's 86-position model. The record is from RNAcentral. Lineage: Eukaryota; Metazoa; Chordata; Mammalia; Rodentia; Cricetidae.